GUUUAUUUAAUAAGAGCAUUUAGAAUUCAAUCAAGUCUUACCUUUGGAGAAGGAAAAACUUUGCUGGAUGCAUCAAUAUGCAGUCGGAUUGGCAAUAGAACUACUCUGCUAUCACAUCAGCAGACUGGUUCGGUAAUAAAGUUAUGUAUUAGGUUGUAAUGCAACCGAGGAUGAGAAUUUCAAGAGCACUUCACUCUCUGCUAACAAUGACUGAAAAGCAAUUCAAUUUACUUCUACUGAUUCAUGAGAUCUCUUGGUUGGAUGAAAUGGUCGAAAUGCAAGAAACGUUAAAAACCAAAGAAUGUAUUGCAUUAAACAUAACAAGCAAACUUAUAUUAAACGCCGCAUGCAAGUUUUCUUUCUUUCUUUUUUUUUAAUAUUAAAAAGAAAAA
RNAcentral lists this long non-coding RNA (392 nucleotides) under Androctonus crassicauda. The record is from RNAcentral. Lineage: Eukaryota; Metazoa; Arthropoda; Arachnida; Scorpiones; Buthidae.